Molecule: ribosomal RNA, 477 nt
Filed under: uncultured bacterium
Lineage: Bacteria
Description: bacterial SSU rRNA
Rfam family: Bacterial small subunit ribosomal RNA
Source: RNAcentral
UUCGCAAUGCCCGAAAGGGUGACGAAGCGACGCCGCGUGCGGGAAGAAGGCCUUCGGGUUGUAAACCGCUGUCGGGAGUUAAGAAAUGUAAGGAUGUUAAUAGCAUCUUUGCUUGACUAAGGCUCCGGAGGAAGCCACGGCUAACUCUGUGCCAGCAGCCGCGGUAAUACAGAGGCGGCAAGCGUUGUUCGGAACUAUUGGGCGUAAAGAGCACGUAGGCGGCUAUGUAAGUCGGUUGUGAAAGCCUUCCGCUCAACGGGAGAACAGCAUCCGAUACUGCAUGGCUUGAGUGCGGGAGGGGAGAGUGGAACUUCUGGUGGAGCGGUGAAAUGCGUAGAUAUCAGAAGGAACGCCGGCGGCGAAAGCGGCUCUCUGGCCCAUAACUGACGCUGAGUGUGCGAAAGCUAGGGGAGCAAACGGGAUUAGAUACCCCGGUAGUCCUAGCCGUAAACGAUGGGCACUAAGUAGAGGGGUUUU